This 200-nucleotide ribosomal RNA is filed under the name uncultured bacterium. Its description in RNAcentral is "partial 16S ribosomal RNA". It matches the Rfam family "Bacterial small subunit ribosomal RNA", at positions 32 to 215 of the family's 1533-position model. The record is from RNAcentral.
AAUCAACGCUGGCGGCGUGCCUAACACAUGCAAGUCGAACGCGAAAGUGGAGCAAUCCAUGAGUAGAGUGGCGAACGGGUGAGUAACGCGUGGGUGACCUACCUUCGAAUGGGGGAUAACGUCCCGGAAGGGACGCUAAUACCGCAUGACAUCCUGCCUUUGAACAGGUGGAGAUCAGAGCCGGGGAUCGCAAGACCUGG